AGUCAAGUAAUUAAGUGCAUGUGGUGGAUGCCUUGGCAGUCAGAGGCGAAGAAAGACGUGAUAGCCUGCGAAAAGCUCCGGGGAGGCGGCAAAUAUCCUGUGAUCCGGAGAUGUCUGAAUGGGGAAACCCACCGGCUAUAAGGUCGGUAUCAUAAACUGAAUACAUAGGUUUAUGAGGCGAACGCGGAGAAGUGAAACAUCUCAGUAUCCGUAGGAAAAGAAAUCAAUUGAGAUUCCCUCAGUAGCGGCGAGCGAACGGGGAACAGCCCAUUAAGUCAUAUCAGUUUUAGUGGAAUGCUCUGGGAAGUGCAACCAUAGUGGGUGAUAGUCCUGUACACGAAAGGGCUGAUAUGAUGAUGUCGAGUAGGGCGAGGCACGUGAAACCUUGUCUGAAUAUAGGGGGACCAUCCUCUAAGGCUAAAUACUC
Molecule: ribosomal RNA, 427 nt
Filed under: Escherichia coli
Lineage: Bacteria; Pseudomonadati; Pseudomonadota; Gammaproteobacteria; Enterobacterales; Enterobacteriaceae
Description: partial 23S ribosomal RNA
Rfam family: Bacterial large subunit ribosomal RNA
Source: RNAcentral